This 450-nucleotide ribosomal RNA is filed under the name uncultured Glomeromycotina. Its description in RNAcentral is "SSU rRNA". It matches the Rfam family "Eukaryotic small subunit ribosomal RNA", at positions 569 to 1023 of the family's 1831-position model. The record is from RNAcentral. Lineage: Eukaryota; Fungi; Glomeromycota.
AGCAGCCGCGGUAAUUCCAGCUCCAAUAGCGUAUAUUAAAGUUGUUGCAGUUAAAAAGCUCGUAGUUGAAUUUCGGGGUUAGUAGGUUGGUCAUGCCUCUGGUAUGUACUGGUCUCACUGAUUCCUCCUUCCUGAUGAGCCGUAAUGCCAUUAAUUUGGUGUUGCGGGGAAUCUGGACUGUUACUUUGAAAAAAUUAGAGUGUUUAAAGCAGGCUAACGCCUGAAUACAUUAGUAUGGAAUAAUGAAAUAGGACGUUCGAUCCUAUUUUGUUGGUUUCUAGGAUUGACGUAAUGAUUAAUAGGGAUAGUUGGGGGCAUUAGUAUUCAAUUGUCAGAGGUGAAAUUCUUGGAUUUAUUGAAGACUAACUACUGCGAAAGCAUUUGCCAAGGAUGUUUUCAUUAAUCAAGAACGAAAGUUAGGGGAUCGAAGACGAUCAGAUACCGUCGUAG